AGUAAACGGCGGCCGUAACUAUAACGGUCCUAAGGUAGCGAAAUUCCUUGUCGGGCAAGUUCCGACCCGCACGAAAGGCGUAACGAUUUGGGCGCUGUCUCAGCUGUAGACUCGGUGAAGUCUUAGUACCUGUGAAGAUGCAGGUUGCCCGCGACUAGACGGAAAGACCCCAUGGAGCUUCACUGCAGGUUGACAUUGGGCUUGGAUGCAUGAUGUACAGGAUAGGUGGGAGGCUGUGAGCCGUGCGCGCCAGCGUACGGGGAGCCGCUGUUGGGAUACCACCCUUCAUGCAUCUAGGUCCUAACCGGAGGCAACGGGCCACGGGACAGUGUCAGUCGGGCAGUUUGACUGGGGCGGUCGCCUCCCAAAGAGUAACGGAGGCGCCCAAAGAUACCCUCAGCAUGGAUGGAAACCAUGCAUAGAGUGCAAAGGCAUAAGGGUGUCUGACUGCGAGACAUACAGGUCGAGCAGGGACGAAAGUCGGGCUUAGUGAUCCGGCGGAUCCGAAUGGAAGGGCCGUCGCUCAACGGAUAAAAGCUACCCUGGGGAUAACAGGCUGAUCUCCCCCAAGAGUUCACAUCGACGGGGAGGUUUGGCACCUCGAUGUCGGCUCAUCGCAUCCUGGGGCUGUAGUCGGUCCCAAGGGUUGGGCUGUUCGCCCAUUAAAGCGGUACGCGAGCUGGGUUCAGAACGUCGUGAGACAGUUCGGUCCCUAUCUGUCGUGGGCGCAGGAGGUUUGAGGAGAGCUGCCCCUAGUACGAGAGGACCGGGGUGGACGGACCGAUGGUGCACCAGUUGUCACGCCAGUGGCACAGCUGGGCAGCCAAGUCCGGACGGGAUAAGCGCUGAAGGCAUCUAAGCGUGAAGCCCCCUCCAAGAUGAGACCUCCCAUUGGCGACAAGUAAGGCCCCUCGAAGACGACGAGGUUGAUAGGCCGCGAGUGCAAGCGCAGCGAUGUGCUUAGCGGGGCGGUACUAAUAGGCCGAGGACUUGGCCAA
This 998-nucleotide ribosomal RNA is filed under the name human gut metagenome. RNAcentral's name for it is "bacterial LSU rRNA". It matches the Rfam family "Bacterial large subunit ribosomal RNA", at positions 1922 to 2925 of the family's 2925-position model. The record is from RNAcentral.